RNAcentral lists this ribosomal RNA (507 nucleotides) under uncultured bacterium. RNAcentral describes it as "bacterial SSU rRNA". It matches the Rfam family "Bacterial small subunit ribosomal RNA", at positions 29 to 524 of the family's 1533-position model. The record is from RNAcentral.
AGUGAACGCUGGCGGCAGGCCUAAUACAUGCAAGUCGAACGGCAGCACAGCAGAGCUUGCUCUGUGGGUGGCGAGUGGUGGACGGGUGAGGAAUACGUGGGAAUCUGCCCAGUCGUGGGGAUAACGUAGGGAAACUUACGCUAAUACCGCAUGCGCCCUUCGGGGGAAAGCCGGGGGACCUUCGGGCCUGGCGCGAUUGGAUGAGCCCACGUCGGAUUAGCUAGUUGGCGGGGUAAAGGCCCACCAAGGCGACGAUCCGUAGCUGGUCUGAGAGGAUGAUCAGCCACACUGGAACUGAGACACGGUCCAGACUCCUACGGGAGGCAGCAGUAGGGAAUAUUGGACAAUGGGCGCAAGCCUGAUCCAGCCAUGCCGCGUGAGUGAAGAAGGCCCUCGGGUUGUAAAGCUCUUUUGUCCGGUAAAGAAAGCGCCGGGUUAAUACCCUGGUGUCCUGACGGUACCGGAAGAAUAAGCACCGGCUAACUUCGUGCCAGCAGCCGCGGUAAU